Molecule: non-coding RNA, 72 nt
Organism: Phrynosoma platyrhinos (Desert horned lizard)
Lineage: Eukaryota; Metazoa; Chordata; Lepidosauria; Squamata; Phrynosomatidae
Source: the annotation of a GenBank genome assembly
GCCAGUGUGGCAUAGUGGUUUGUGACUUAGAUUGCAACUCUGUAGGCCAGGAUUCAAUUCCCAGCUUGGCCA